This 411-nucleotide unclassified non-coding RNA is filed under the name uncultured marine bacterium 311. RNAcentral describes it as "partial 16S-23S ribosomal RNA intergenic spacer". The stretch from base 294 to 411 matches the Rfam family "Bacterial large subunit ribosomal RNA", at positions 1 to 117 of the family's 2925-position model. The record is from RNAcentral.
CCUCCUUAAAAAAUAAUCGCUUAGGAUAGGCGUUCACACGAAUAACUUGCUUUUACCUAAAUCAUUUCUUUACAGAUUUGAGAUUAAGGAGCGUUCUUUAACAUUUUUAUAAGUUCAAUCAAGUCACAUCAUAGUGUCUUUAUUUUUUUUAAUUUAGAUAUGAAUGAUGUGCAAAUGUCACCAAACCCGUCAUGUUUUAGAACAUAAGUUUGGUGUACAUACUGCAAAGUAAUUUUGGCGAAUGACAAUAGAUACUUGAAGAACAUUAAUCAUUAAGUUGUUUGAUGUAAUAUGGUCAAGUAAAUAAGCGCAUACGGUGGAUGCCUUGGCAGCUAGAGGCGAUGAAGGACGUAGUAACUUGCGAUAAGCUUCGGGGAGCCGGUAAACAGGCUUUGAUCCGAAGAUUUCCGA